UACGUAGGCGGCAAGCGUUGUUCGGAUUUAUUGGGCGUAAAGGGCUUGUAGGUGGUUUGUAAGUGUGAGUUGAAAGACCGGGGCUUAACCCCGAGUUUGGCUUGCAAACUGCAUAACUGGAGUGUAGAAGGGGAUGUUGGAAUUCCGCGUGUAGGGGUGAAAUCUGUAGAUAUGCGGAAGAAUACCAGUGGCGAAGGCGAACAUCUGGUCUAUAACUGACACUGAGAAGCGAAAGUGUGGGGAGCAAACA
Molecule: ribosomal RNA, 250 nt
Filed under: uncultured prokaryote
Description: partial 16S ribosomal RNA
Rfam family: Bacterial small subunit ribosomal RNA
Source: RNAcentral